This 72-nucleotide unclassified non-coding RNA is filed under the name Flavobacterium glycines. Its description in RNAcentral is "Flavo-1 RNA". The record is from RNAcentral. Lineage: Bacteria; Pseudomonadati; Bacteroidota; Flavobacteriia; Flavobacteriales; Flavobacteriaceae.
CCCUAGCCCAGAUAGAGCCGAUAUCCUCAUGACGUGCAACGGAAUGAGAUAAAGGCGAAAGCUGGAAAUAGC